This 529-nucleotide long non-coding RNA is filed under the name Homo sapiens (human). RNAcentral describes it as "HSALNT0163540". Lineage: Eukaryota; Metazoa; Chordata; Mammalia; Primates; Hominidae. The record is from RNAcentral.
CCUCUGAUGGCAGUCGCUGGAUGCUUCAUCCACGUGUAGUGGUUUUCUUUCCUCUGCACACCUCUCAGUACAUACUCCAGCUGGGACAAUCUUUUCAGAUGAACACCCUGUUUUUAUCCCAGUCUGAUAAAUUUUUCUUGAAAAGAGGUCAAACAGGAAAGCAAACCUUCCUCUGCCUGUCUCAGUGCAAUCAUGAAGAUCACGCAAGAUAGUCCCUGUUGGAGUGUGUGUGCUUCAGCAGUGCAGAGCAUUCAAAGGCCAUCAAGCUCCAGAUGAUCCUCAGUGAGGGAUACCGCUCUCUCAGUAUUCAAGAGUCACCCUUCCACAGAGAAGCCCUAGACUGCCCAUCAGUGGAAUAUGAGAGAGCCUGCACCAGAUGCAACUCCUAUAGAAGAGGGAAAUCCUGAACUGACUGAGCGAACUCUCAGAAUUGACCAUGAUUCACAUUUUUACCCUUGACGGAAAAAGGAUUCAAGGAACACAUUACAUUUCUGUUUUAGAAAAAUAAAGUUGUAUUUUUGCAUACCUG